Cynara cardunculus var. scolymus (artichoke) is the source of this 492-nucleotide long non-coding RNA. RefSeq lists it as uncharacterized. The record is from RefSeq and is a predicted model, not a curated record. The transcript is spliced from 2 exons. NCBI's taxonomy places the organism in Eukaryota, Viridiplantae, Streptophyta, Magnoliopsida, Asterales, Asteraceae.
GAUACAGAAAAUGGAGUUUGAUGACAGAUCCGGGCUCCGGCUACACAAUCCGGUGCAAAUCAUCGGCAGGUUGAUCGUCGUCGAUUUCAUCUUCCAUAAACAAACCCCUUUGGGUCCUGUCUCUACCCAGGGCGUACUCUUCAUUCCAAGCUUCGAAUCAGCAUAUUAUGGGCCUGAAAUGGAGACCAGUAGUGAAAGUUAUGCGCGUUUAAGCUCGACAACCCUGUUAUCCCGGCCAUGGGUCUCCAUGAACAAUAAGACCUAAUCCUCCAUGCGGACCACGCCAAGGCCCGCAUCAGAUUUGGUAGGCAUGAUUCUUAAUUUGUGUUUCAAACAUAAUUGAUUGUGUUUUCUUUUUCAUAAUUGAAUUGCUGAAAGAAUUACUAAAAAUUGUAGAAUUGUGGUGUUUGAUGAAUAUGCUUGUUUCUGCUAAACUUGAAAUGUUUUCUCAUUGAUCUAUAAUCAAUAAAAGCAUGUUCAUUUUUGCUUUCA